AGCGUAGGCGGAGGAAUAAGUUAGAAGUUUAAUGUACGGGCUUAACCCGUAAUCUGCUUCUAAUACUGUUUUUCUUGAGUAUGGGAGAGGGAGAUGGAAUUCCAGGUGUAGCGGUGGAAUGCGUAGAUAUCUGGAAGAACACCAGCUGCGAAGGCGGUCUCCUGGCCCAAUACUGACGCUGAGGCUCGAAAGCUAGGGGAGCAAACAGGAUUAGAUACCCUGGUAGUCCUAGCUGUAAACGAUGGACACUAGAUGCUGGAGGAGUCAAUCCUUUCGGUGUCGUAGCUAACGCGUUAAGUGUCCCGCCUGGGGAGUACGCUCGCAAGGGUGAA
Molecule: ribosomal RNA, 332 nt
Filed under: uncultured bacterium
Lineage: Bacteria
Description: bacterial SSU rRNA
Rfam family: Bacterial small subunit ribosomal RNA
Source: RNAcentral